RNAcentral lists this ribosomal RNA (196 nucleotides) under Salmonella enterica. RNAcentral's name for it is "partial 23S ribosomal RNA". The record is from RNAcentral. Lineage: Bacteria; Pseudomonadati; Pseudomonadota; Gammaproteobacteria; Enterobacterales; Enterobacteriaceae.
GGUUAAGCGACUAAGCGUACACGGUGGAUGCCCUGGCAGUCAGAGGCGAUGAAGGGCGUGCUAAUCUGCGAUAAGCGCCGGUAAGGUGAUAUGAACCGUUAUAACCGGCGAUACCCGAAUGGGGAAACCCAGUGUGAYUCGUCACACUAUCAUUAACUGAAUCCAUAGGUUAAUGAGGCGAACCGGGGGAACUGAA